Molecule: ribosomal RNA, 467 nt
Filed under: uncultured bacterium
Lineage: Bacteria
Description: partial 16S ribosomal RNA
Rfam family: Bacterial small subunit ribosomal RNA
Source: RNAcentral
GACGAACGCUGGCGGCGUGCCUAACACAUGCAAGUCGAACGGAAAGGCCUCUUUCGGGGGGUACUCGAGUGGCGAACGGGUGAGUAACACGUGAGUAACCUGCCCUUGACUUUGGGAUAACUUCAGGAAACUGGGGCUAAUACCGGAUAGGAGCUCCUGCUGCAUGGUGGGGGUUGGAAAGUUUCGGCGGUUGGGGAUGGACUCGCGGCUUAUCAGCUUGUUGGUGGGGUAGUGGCUUACCAAGGCUUUGACGGGUAGCCGGCCUGAGAGGGUGACCGGCCACAUUGGGACUGAGAUACGGCCCAGACGCCUACGGGAGGCAGCAGUGGGGAAUAUUGCACAAUGGGUGGAAGCCUGAUGCAGCAACGCCGUGUGCGGGAUGACGGCCUUCGGGUUGUAAACCGCUUUCGCUCAUGACGAAGCUUUGUGUGACGGUAGUGGGUAAAGAAGCACCGGCUAACUACGUG